RNAcentral lists this long non-coding RNA (1358 nucleotides) under Dasypus novemcinctus (nine-banded armadillo). RNAcentral's name for it is "lncRNA (ENSDNOG00000051582.1)". Lineage: Eukaryota; Metazoa; Chordata; Mammalia; Cingulata; Dasypodidae. The record is from RNAcentral.
AGACCCCAUUCCUUCUGGUCCCGCCAGGGCACGCGGGACCAGAGGCAGAAGAACCUGCCCCCCCCUUCAGCGCAGUUCACGUGAGGGCAGGGGCAGAGGGGAUGGCGCGCCAAGUUCCCACCCCUAGGCCCCGCUGCGCGAUCCGGCCAACCCCUCCCGACUGAGCAGUGGAGCGGGGCCUAGAGGCCCGCUGCCGGGCGCUGGCUCCUCCCUCCCCGGCCGCUCCGGCUCCCGCCUCUCUCCCUUCCGCCGCCUAGGUGGGAGCCGAGCCUGAAUGAACGAGCCGCAGCCGGGGCCGGGCAGCUGCAGGGCUGCUGCGGGCGGGCAGUCUGGAGGCGGCAGCGGAGAUGCCAGGACCCCGCUGAGCUCACCGUUUUGCUCCUGGAGCCUGGAGCCUGACGCACCAGGCGGUACGAGGCCGGAGGCCGCAUGCGGAGCGGUGAGGAGCUGGGCAGCUUCCAGGAUGAGGCCUGCCUGCAGCAGCUCCAGGAUCGUAGGCGCCAGCCGCACUUCUUUGCCUACUCCCGAGCCAGUGAUCCAGCGCCCUGGGCUGGGAGGCCUCCGCUGCGACCCCGACCAGCUGCGCUGCAUUCUCGGCCUCCUCAAAGUCGCCAAAUUGAUGGUCUUGCUGCAGGAAUUGCUAGUCCACAUUCUCUCCCAUUGAGUCUUCUUGGGGCCCAGUCCAGAAGCCUGGUGGUCUACUGUGAGCUGUGCUGUGAGCUGUCUUUGAUUCCUCUUGCUGGUGAGUAGGUUUGCUGCAACAACUACUGGAUCAAUGUGAUAUAGUUUCCUGCCUGAAGACUAAGAGCAUUGUAAUUCAAACUUUCUCAGAGAUAGUUCUUCAACCUUCACUGACAGCCCCCUAUCUUUUCCUGGGUAGGAAAUAAUUCAACUCCCUUCUGCAUCCUCAACAGUCAAUCCCAGUUAGUAGAAAGGGAGAUUGAGAAGGCCAGAUUUUCUUAGUCCCAGAUCUCUUUUUACUCUUUUUUAAAUUUUUUUAUUUAUUCAUUUAAAAAAAAAUAUUACAUUAAAAAAAUAUGAGGUCCCCAUUCAUCCCCACCGCCCCCACCCCACCACUCCCCCCGCAGUAACACUCACCCCCAUCAUCAUGACACAUCCAUUGCAUCUGGUGAGUACAUCUCCGGGCUUCGCUGCACCCCAUGGCCUGUGGUCCACACCAUAGCCCACACUUUUCCACGUUCCAUCCAAUGGGCCAUGGGAGGACAUACAAUGUACGGAAAUUGUCCCUGCAGCACCACUCAGGACAACUCCAAGUCCUGAAAAUGCCUCCACAUCUCAUCUCUUCCUCCCCAUUCAGCUGGCUCCCAAGGCAAACAGUGGUAUAGCCACAUCCAGCC